Molecule: ribosomal RNA, 891 nt
Filed under: Triticum aestivum (bread wheat)
Lineage: Eukaryota; Viridiplantae; Streptophyta; Magnoliopsida; Poales; Poaceae
Description: partial small subunit ribosomal RNA
Source: RNAcentral
AUGAAUGCUUCCAAGAUUACUGAUGUUGAGCGUGAGGUUGUCCUUAGUGGUGGAGAUGAUGCUCGUGGUGUUCCCUUGUAUAGUGGGUGCAAUGUUGGUAACGAAGUUGCUGAUGAGGAUGCUGGCGUUGCCAGCAUAUUUGACGCCAAAUCGCCUGGUGUUGGUAUUGCUGGGAAUGAAAAUGUUCUUGAUUCUGAAGAUUUCCUACAGGAGAAUUUCCCGCCUAGAGGUUUUGAUUACGGUGAUGCAUUGCAAGAUGCUUCUAGCAUGGAGGAGGUGCCAUCCGAGGAUGAUGAUUUACUUCUGUCAAUUUCUUCUGACCCCUCGACGCAGGAGGCGCUCUUGUCGUCCCAGGAUUUUCUUUCUACAGACCUUGAAAGCUCAGCAAUAUUGGUGUCCUCUCAAGAUGUCCCAUCGUCAAACCCCGAAACUGGAGGCAUAAUGGUCUCAUCACAAGAACUACCGUCGUCGUCAAACCCUGAUAGUCCAGCGUUUGUCCCCACUAGCAUGCUCAACUCAGACAGUGCUGACAUUGUUUUAUAUUCUCUACGUCAGAAGUACCGAGACACUGACAAGUUGAUAGUUCUGAGAUGGGUGACGACCAAGAUCCGUGAUGGAAAUAUUGAUUCCAAUGUGCUAAAUUGGUUCACGAGAUCAAAGAGCCCUACUACACCCAAGAAUCCCAUUGUGGAAUUGAUAGAGAGCGAUGAUGAUGUGUUUGACAAGAUUGCUGGCGUUGGAAGAGUCACGAGGAGCGCUGCUGCUAAAGGUUUAUCUCCCCUUGCUGGAAUAGUGGCCCGUAGAGCUGGUGGUGCUAGGAAAGAUCCUACUUUGGAUUCUGGCAAUGUUGUAAGCACGAAGCGUGCGCCCAGGGAUCCUAUAAAGUUUUGA